Molecule: ribosomal RNA, 484 nt
Filed under: uncultured bacterium
Lineage: Bacteria
Description: partial 16S ribosomal RNA
Rfam family: Bacterial small subunit ribosomal RNA
Source: RNAcentral
AUUGAACGCUGGCGGCAGGCCUAACACAUGCAAGUCGAGCGGAGGGAGGGAGCUUGCUCCUGGAUUCAGCGGCGGACGGGUGAGUAAUGCCUAGGAAUCUGCCUGGUAGAGGGGGAUAACGUCCGGAAACGGGCGCUAAUAUCGCAUACGUCCUGAGAGAGAAAGUGGGGGAUCUUCGGACAUCACGCUAUCAGAUGAGCCUAGGUCGGAUUAGCUAGUUGGUGGGGUAAAGGCCUACCAAGGCGACGAUCCGUAACGGGUCUGAGAGGAUGAUCAGUCACACUGGAACUGAGACACGGUCCAGACUCCUACGGGAGGCAGCAGUAGGGAAUCUUCGACAAUGGGCGAAAGCCUGAUCGAGCAAUGCCGCGUGUGUGAAGAAGGUCUUCGGAUUGUAAAGCACUUUAAGUUGGGAGGAACGACAGUGUGAUAAUCCCUGGCUGUUUUGACGUUACCAACAGAAUAAGCACCGGCUAACUUCGUG